UAAUACGUAGGGUGCGAGCGUUAAUCGGAAUUACUGGGCGUAAAGCGUGCGCAGGUGGCGACAUAAGACAGAUGUGAAAUCCCCGGGCUCAACCUGGGAACUGCGUUUGUGACUGUGUUGCUAGAGUGUAGCAGAGGGGGGUGGAAUUCCACGUGUAGCAGUGAAAUGCGUAGAGAUGUGGAGGAACACCGAUGGCGAAGGCAGCCCCCUGGGUUAACACUGACGCUCAUGCACGAAAGCGUGGGGAGCAAACAGGAUUAGAUACCCUGGUAGUCCACGCCCUAAACGAUGCCAACUAGGUGUUGGGGGAGGAGACUUCCUUAGUACCGUAGCUAACGCGUGAAGUUGGCCGCCUGGGGAGUACGGUCGCAAGAUUAAAACUCAAAUGAAUUGACGG
RNAcentral lists this ribosomal RNA (397 nucleotides) under uncultured bacterium. RNAcentral's name for it is "bacterial SSU rRNA". It matches the Rfam family "Bacterial small subunit ribosomal RNA", at positions 521 to 916 of the family's 1533-position model. The record is from RNAcentral.